Molecule: transfer RNA, 72 nt
Filed under: Candidatus Pacearchaeota archaeon RBG_13_36_9
Lineage: Archaea; Nanobdellati
Description: tRNA-Val
Rfam family: tRNA
About the family: Transfer RNA (tRNA) molecules are approximately 80 nucleotides in length. Their secondary structure includes four short double-helical elements and three loops (D, anti-codon, and T loops).
Source: RNAcentral
GGCCUUGUAGUUCAGUGGCAGAACGCAUCUUUGACGUGGAUGAGAUCCAAGGUUCGAUCCCUUGCAGGGCCA